This is a long non-coding RNA of Cannabis sativa, 880 nucleotides long. RefSeq lists it as uncharacterized. The record is from RefSeq and is a predicted model, not a curated record. The transcript has 3 exons. Lineage: Eukaryota; Viridiplantae; Streptophyta; Magnoliopsida; Rosales; Cannabaceae.
UGUGAGUUUUUCAAUUAAUAAACACGUGUCGUAUUGUGAUUAUUGAAACACAGAGAAGACGGAAAUUUAGGGGACACAAGAUUUUAUUCCUGAAGUUUUUUUUUAAGUUCAUUCCUACAGGUUUGAUUUUUUUUUUUUUCCAUUCCAAUUCCAAGCUCCAAAUCCACUCCAUCUCUCGUAUUAUUGACUGGUACUAAGAAUUCAAAAUUAAAUAAAGGAUACAAGUAUGUAUUGACAUUAAUGUUUGCACCAGCAGAUCCAAAACCCUAGAAUUCCCGGCUGCUAAGAAAGCGCAGAUGGUGGUUUGAUAAGUCUCAACUAGGCAGUAAUGUGGGUUAUUCGGAAAGAGCGGUGCUUCUGCAUAUGGAUUGUUGUGUGAAGAGAUAUGAAGAGUUUAACAUGAGCGAUGGAGGUGGUGAGGAAGUCAGGUGGUGCCAAUGAUUUUGCUAGAGCAGUUGUGAAAGGUGCAGUAGAGCAAAUAUGUGCGAGUGAUGGAUUUCAGGCUUUCCAGAGCAAAUAAUUGGGCACUUGCCUAAUUGAUGGUUUCAUCUACAUCAAUAUUUUCAUCAAUAGGUACUAUGUCAUUCACACUUGCAAAGCUUGAUUUAUAUCAGAAAACGACUUUGCUGCAAAUGGUCCUACCUCGAUUAAUUUGAAGCUUCUUUGGCAUUUUACUUUUGUUUCCUUUGGUUUUGUGGUUUCAAUCUUAUUCUUACUAUCAAGGCUUGCAAGAGUGAGAGGUCCAUUAUCAACUCGAGAAGUAAACAAAGUAUUAGAAAAAGCCCCUCCUAUAUAUUUUAAGUGAUCUUGUAUUAUUCAUUUAGUAAUUUUUAUGUAAUCACAAUGUCAAUAUAUAAUAAACUAGUUAAGAUUCGGAGUA